GAUGAAGAACGUAGCGAAAUGCGAUACGUAAUGUGAAUUGCAGAUUUCAGUGAAUCAUCGAAUCUUUGAACGCACAUUGCGCCCGCCAGUAUUCUGGCGGGCAUGCCUGUUCGAGCGUCAUUUCAACCAUCAAGCCCCCGGGCUUGUGUUGGGGACCUGCGGCUGCCGCAGGCCCUGAAAAGCAGUGGCGGGCUCGCUGUCACACCGAGCGUAGUAGCAUACAUCUCGCUCUGGGCGUGCUGCGGGUUCCGGCCGUUAAACCACCUUUUAACCCAAGGUUGACCUCGGAUCAGGUAGGAAGACCCGCUGAACUUAAGCAUAUCAAUAAGCGGAGGA
RNAcentral lists this unclassified non-coding RNA (336 nucleotides) under soil metagenome. Its description in RNAcentral is "partial contains 5.8S ribosomal RNA, internal transcribed spacer 2, and large subunit ribosomal RNA". The stretch from base 1 to 120 matches the Rfam family "5.8S ribosomal RNA", at positions 35 to 154 of the family's 154-position model. The record is from RNAcentral.